GAUGAACGCUGGCGGCGUGCCUAAUACAUGCAAGUCGAGCGAACAGACGAGGAGCUUGCUCCUCUGACGUUAGCGGCGGACGGGUGAGUAACACGUGGAUAACCUACCUAUAAGACUGGGAUAACUUCGGGAAACCGGAGCUAAUACCGGAUAAUAUAUUGAACCGCAUGGUUCAAUAGUGAAAGACGGUUUUGCUGUCACUUAUAGAUGGAUCCGCGCGGCAUUAGCUAGUUGGUAAGGUAACGGCUUACCAAGGCAACGAUGCGUAGCCGACCUGAGAGGGGGAUCGGCAACACUGGAACGGAGACACGGUCCAGACGACGACGGGAGGGAGCAGUAGGGAAUGUUACGCAAAGGGCGAAAGCCUGACGGAGCAAGGCCGCGGGAGUGAUGAAGGUCUUCGGAUCGUAAAACUCUGUUAUUAGGGAAGAACAGAUGUGGAAGGAACAGUGCACAUCUUGACGGUACCGAAUCAGAAAGCCACGGCUAACUAAGUG
Molecule: ribosomal RNA, 497 nt
Filed under: uncultured bacterium
Lineage: Bacteria
Description: partial 16S ribosomal RNA
Rfam family: Bacterial small subunit ribosomal RNA
Source: RNAcentral